Molecule: ribosomal RNA, 393 nt
Filed under: uncultured bacterium
Lineage: Bacteria
Description: partial 16S ribosomal RNA
Rfam family: Bacterial small subunit ribosomal RNA
Source: RNAcentral
AUACGGAAGGUCCGGGCGUUAUCCGGAUUUAUUGGGUUUAAAGGGAGCGCAGGCGGAGAUGCAAGCGUGACGUCAAAUUUCGGGGCUCAACCCCGUCUCGCGUCGCGAACUGCGUCCCUUGGUUGCGGGAAGGGGAGGCGGAACUCGUGGUGUAGCGGUGAAAUGCAUAGAUAUCACGAAGAACUCCGAUCGCGAAGGCAGCCUUCCGGCCCGUCAACGACGCUCAUGCUCGAAGGUGCGGGUAUCAAACAGGAUUAGAUACCCUGGUAGUCCGCACAGUAAACGAUGGACUCCCGCGGUUUGGCCUAUAUGGCUGAGCCGCCAAGCGAAAGCGUUAAGUGUCCCACCUGGGGAGUACGCCGGCAACGGUGAAACUCAAAGGAAUUGACGGGG